Long non-coding RNA from Mesocricetus auratus (golden hamster), 2432 nucleotides. RefSeq lists it as uncharacterized. The transcript is spliced from 8 exons. NCBI's taxonomy places the organism in Eukaryota, Metazoa, Chordata, Mammalia, Rodentia, Cricetidae. The record is from RefSeq and is a predicted model, not a curated record.
CUUCAUUCCUUUUAUAUUCCUGAAUCCCAGUGUGUACUAGCUCAUGCAGAUGAACAUCUCAAUAUCUCAGCAGGUGCUGGCAACCUGCUGAGGAACAUGGAGACACACACCAUUAACUCCAGUACAGGACUGGGUGAAGGGCACCACAAGGGCUUAAGUAAUCUGUGGAGCUGUUUUCAGAUACUCCAUUGGAUGCAGGCCUUGAGAGAUGAAGGUCAGAUCUGAACUGGGUUAGUAAAUGUGCUGGGGAGGGAAAGAGAACUAAAGAAUUUGGGGACAGCUUGCAAACUCCUGACUUUUCCAGGAAAUAGCAGGCAGGGAUGGCAUGGGGCAGAAGGCUAGGAAUGGAUGUGUGGACGCAGGAUUGCUUUGCCCUCUCCGCUAUGCUGAAGCUUGCUUUCUGUAUUUUAUGGGGAGCGAGAGGAGUCCCUGGAAGUUUUCAGGAAGAAGGGAGGCCGUGCUGAUGGGUAUAAAAUGGACAGCUUGUCUGAGGAGACGUGUGAAGGAGGGCAAAGAGGGACACAUCACUCAAAAACAACGUCUUUGCUUGGAGUUCUUAAUAUGUAAGAGAUCGUGAAACCGGAAAAAGAACAAUGAAAAAAAGAAAGAAACUCUGCAAGACAUGAAAAUGGACUCUUGGAGAGGAAAAUUACACAUGGAGCUGAUGGGGAGGGUAGAGAGCAUUAUCAAAAAAUAUGUAUAAAAAUGUCAUCAGGAAAACUGUUACAUUGUGUCUUAAUUAAAAAAAAAAACAACAACAACCAAAGUUUAAAAGAGUGAAAAUGGAGCACCAGCAUCCAUCUCCCUCUGCUUCCUGAGUGUGACGUCAUGUGACCAGCCACCUCCUGCUUCUGCCACCGUGCCUCUUCUACCUUUGGACUGUGAACCAAAACGUACCCUGCUUUCCUGAAGUUGUUCUUGACAGAAACCCCAGCUGAAUCCUGGAAAUGCUUCACAAACAUCCCAAGCACAGAUGUAAGGAAAGACGAAGAAAUCUGAAGCUGAAACCAACAGAGUGAGAGUGUGAAUGAGUGAGAGCAAGGUAUCAAAGUAAAGAGGCCUUGGGCUAGUUCAGGAACCAAAUAUCUGGAGAUGAAGAGGAUGUGUUCUGGGCUGGGUCACCUUCAAUGGGAGACUUCUUGUUGAACCUUUUUCUACACAUCACAUGCAUGAGGCCUAACCCAAGAUCUGCCGAAUCGGAAGAAAUCCUGAGGGGUAUACUUUACAACUGGCAGCAGCAUAAGCUCUGUGGGUGAUUCUGAUGGAUGCCGUGGUUGAACAAUCAGGGUAGUGAUGUAUGAAACAGUCCCCACCUUCUGAUUGCCUGUGGCCUGUCUUAAACAACCAAGCAUCAUGGAACCAUGUUGGAUCAGCACGAGGGGAGAAGGAAGUCCUCUGAAGUGGGAACAGUUGUCAGCCAUCAUGAACUGCGUGUGUGUCAGCAUCUGCCAAGACUUCUUGGACUCAUUCCUUUCUCCCCACUUGUGCCAUGAACCAAUGACUUCAUCAUUCCUGUGCUCAGAUGUUGGUUCAAGAAUUCAGUAGUUGUUCAGUCUAAGAAGCUGGAUGUCUCAGCCAGUCUUCAGUACAUGCCAAAAUCCUGAAGAAGUAGGCUGUAAUGCCAGUGAAGGAAUGGACUUGCCAGCGAGAGUGAGAGCAAACCAGCAAAGAGAGCAAGCUUCCUUCUUCCAUGUCCUUUACAUAGGCUGCCAGCAGACGGUGUGGCCUGGAUUAAAGCUUUUCGUUACAGUGUGUUUGGGGCAGUAGUAUUCAUCUCACCUGAUUUCACUGUCCAUCUUGACUGGAGAAACUUGUCCUGGAGAACAAAGAGGCACAGAUGAUGAGAAGGGAUUUGCCUGUUAACCUGAAUGUUACUGAGAACACCAAUUUACGUGAACAUCCAUUUUUCAAAACUGUGGGAAACGGGCAAGAUGUUGCUGGCUGAGAAAACAUUUCUGCCUUGGCUGCUGGCCAUCACCCGUCGAGGUCACCUGAAGAGGUCAGUGUUGCCACCAUGGCCACCAGUCUGCCAAAGCCUGUCCUGAGGCUCAUCCAAGCCUCAGCUCCAGUAGCCAAAGUGCAGAUGGAUCUUCUAUUUUUGGUUCUGGGAUGCGGUCCAUGAAUGCUGAGCCAGUGACCUGGAAAAGCCAUUGCUGGUCGGAGUCCAUCAUUGUCUUUCAGUGUUUACCAGAAGGUCUAGGGGUGUGGGUGUGGGGCAUGGAAUGAUCCAGAGAUGACUGAGAAGGGACGAUGGUCAGGCGACAUGGACCCUGAAAACUCAUUUCCCUGCCAACACUGCGGCCAUCAAAAAUGAUUUUGGGCAUUUCAAACUAGACUCUUGCUACUGAUGUCUGCUUUUUUACCAAUUUUGAUGUCUCCAGAAUUUUUUUAAAGCCAUGAUUUCGUGUCAGUAAAACAUUUUUGAACACCCA